RNAcentral lists this ribosomal RNA (253 nucleotides) under uncultured bacterium. Its description in RNAcentral is "partial 16S ribosomal RNA". It matches the Rfam family "Bacterial small subunit ribosomal RNA", at positions 524 to 776 of the family's 1533-position model. The record is from RNAcentral.
UACAGAGGGUGCGAGCGUUAAUCGGCAUUACUGGGCGUAAAGCGUGCGUAGACGGUUAUUUAAGUCAGAUGUGAAAGCCCCGGGCUCAACCUGGGAAUUGCAUUUGAGACUGAAUAGCUAGGGUGCGGUAGAGGGAAGCGGAAUUUCCGGUGUAGCGGUGAAAUGCGUAGAUAUCGGAAGGAACAUCAGUGGCGAAAGCGGCUUCCUGGACCAGCACCGACGUUCAGGCACGAAAGCGUGGGGAGCAAACAGG